CUGCCGGGUGCGCCAUUGGCCCGCGUGCCACCGGUGCCCCGCGCUUUGCCUCGCGUCGCCGAGAUUUCCCGGGGUACUGAUCCCGCCCGCUGACGCCUGCCAAGAUGGCGGCACCUGAGGAGGGGGACACCGAGGCUCCACCACCACCUCCUCCUCCCGCUGAGGACAAGCCUCCCGGGGAGGCGUCUACAGCCUGCGGGGCUCCCCUCAGCGUGGCGGCGGCGGAGGAGGAGGAGGAUGGCAGAGCCGCGGUGGGGCCUGCCAACCUCCCGCUUUCUGCGGAGGGCCCAGAGCUGCUGGCGACACCGGGGGAGCUGGCGCAGAGCUUGGCAGCCGUGGAAGCCGGAUCGGCGGCGGCCGGCACCGUUCUGUACGUGCAGGAGGACGGGAGCGUGGUGGAGGGUGAGAGGCUGAGCGCCGUGGAGGUGCGGCUGCUGCUGGAGCAGCUGCUGUCUGCUGCCGAGAGCCCGGGGCCGGGCACGUCGGAACCGCCGCCUCCUCGGCACGCCGCCACGCCGCUGGCCCCCGCGGAGGUCCAGCGGGUCAUCGAGCAGGUGAGCAAGGCCCAGGAGAAGCAGAAGCUGCCGCCAGCUGCUCCGCCGGAGCCCUGCCUGGGGCCGCCCCCGCCGCUGGCCAGCAUCAUGCACAACGCCGCCCAGCAGCUGCGGAGCGUUGCCCAGCAGAUCGCCAGGCAGCAGGGCGGUUCCGUGGCCGCCACUCGGCUCCUCCCGCAGAAGCAGCUGGAAGCUAUUCGUGUCCAAGUUCAAUCAGGACAGAUGAAGGAAACUGAAAGGCCAAUGCUAUCACUGGCAUCAGUCCAGCCCAAAACUGUAAGGCUGAGUCAAUCAGUUAGUAGGAAUUCUAACAUGCCAGGACUUGGUAUUAUUAAUCCCCAGAUAAUUAGGAUACAGCCUGUUACAGGAACUAAGCAGCAGCAGCUAUUCCUGCAUAGCUCUUCCAAGUCUCCAGUUCAGUUGCUUAUGCAGAAACCUUUACCAUCAAAUGGAUCAGUGUCUCUCAAAAAGAUUCGCACAUCUAAGAUGCUAAAUGGACAGAAAGCUGCAUGUGCCACAGGAUCGGCUGCAAGAUCUCCAAAUGUUAACCUGGUGUCAGGCAGUUCAGCAAACAGUCUGGUACCAUGUCUUGAAAAAACCCCAAAAGAUGACAAGUUAAAAAAAUCCUUCAAAGUGAAAACACGUUCCGGACGGAUUUCACGCCCCCCCAAAUACAAAGCUAAAGAUUAUAAAUUCAUUAAAAUGGAAGAUUUGGCUUAUGGUCAUCGAUCUGAUUCUGAUGACUACUCUGAGCUGAGUGUAGAAGAUGAUGAAGAAGGAAAGGUGAAGGGAAAAGAUGCAUUAUUCACGUCUUCAAAUUAUGAUCUGAACCCCAAAACGUUUCAAUGUCAGACUUGUGAAAAAUCCUAUCUAGGAAAAGGAGGAUUAACAAGACAUUAUAAACUUAACCCAGGCCAUAGACAGAUGGAGUCUUCACCUCAAAAAAUACCUUUAAAUAAGCCUAACGGAAGUAUAUUGGUGGACAAUGACUGUGGAAUAGGAGAGGAAAUGAUGAGUCCAGCACAUUUGGAUUCAGUUGCUGCCACUUUAAAUAAGGAAAAUGCACUAGCUACCAGUCUGGAAGGAGCUGUUGAUUCAAAAGCUGGAGAACAGACCUCGAAGUCUCCAGAAAGCAGACCCUUGUUGGCAGAACAACAAAAAGAAAGCAGUUCAGGACACCAGGAACCUGUAACACCAGAAGGACCUGGAAGACCCAGACGAUCAAGGAGACAUGGUCGACUACAGAAGGGUGGAAGGUCCAGGUGUUCUGGAAGGCUGAGCAGACGUGGUGAAUCCCCUUCAAAAUCACUUGGUAGUGUGUCAGCAGAACGCAAUGUAUACAGAAAAAGAAAAGCUAAGUUAAAAGAGUUAAUACAACAAUGCGAUAAUGAAGACUUAAUGGAGCUGGCUCUCCCACGUCUCACAAAAGUUGUUACAGUAUUUGAAUUUCUGUUGAUGAAGGUUGAAAAAGGGUAUCCAGGCAAAGCUUACUUCCCAGAUGUGUAUAAGGAAUUUGAAGACUUGCAUAAUAUGGUAAAGAAAAUGGCUUAUCGUCACCUCAGUAAUUCAAAUUUGCUGAGUUGCCAGCAGCCUGUUGAAAUAAGAGAUGCUAAGGUUGCUGAAUCCCUAGGAAUUACAGAAAUACUUGCUGGAGAAGGAAAGACACAAGGUGCAGACUCUUGUUCACAAACUAUAAUUAAAACUGUCAGUGCGCAAGUGCCUCUGGAGAUACUGGGACAAAAACGGUUAGCUGAGAGCUCAGGGGAGGAACUGUUGCCAUCAGCAAAAAGGACCAAGUUAGAAGAUGUAAUGGAGAAUGUGAAUAAUGAUAAUGCCAGUCAAGAUGAAGUGAAAGAAAAGAGUGAGAAUUUAUGUACACUGUCUGAAAAAGAUGGUUUUAAUCAAUUAAAUGGAGAAAUCCAGCUUUCAGAAGAUGGGCAUAUCACUUGCUGCACAACUGGAAGCACAUUACUGACAGCAGAGCAACAUAAUUCACUUGGUGAUUCAGGAAUUAGAAUCGAUGCUGGAAAUUCAGCUACCUUCUCCCAGUCUGUGGAAAUGAGGGCAGAGUAUUCCGAAUGUGUGGCGAUACAGGGACCAGAUUUGGCCAAUGACGAGUCUUUGCUACAUGAAGUUGUAUUACCAGCUGAAGCAGAUGGCUCGCCUGGAUUAGUCCAAGCACACUUUAUGAAUGAGGAUACAGCCAGUGGGCUCUCAGGUCCUCAGCUUUGUAGCACUUUGUCUGAGGAUGCAAUGGGCAGUGAGAGCCCUAACUUAGCAAUGAGUGAAGAAAAUGGACAUCAUCAGAAAUACCAGAAACUGCAAGAAGAAAACUGUAAUUUCGCAAUUAAAGAACAUUCUGAACGAUUCCAUAGUGAAAAUAUGACUGAUGAGAUGCAGGAACUUGAAAAAGCGUUGUCAACAAACAUUGUGCCAGUAAACCACACACACAGUGCUCAGACUGAGUUGAACCAGAGCCCUGCCCAGGAAGCCUUUGUGUCUGCUCAUGUGAACCAUGAAAACUCACUUAAAAAUGUGAAUGACCGUUCUUGUGGGACAGAGGAACAACAUGAGCUAGAGAAUAGAGUCACUGUGGAUGAAACUGUAGCCUUCGAGAUUACUGAUGAGAGCCCUGAUUUUUUGUCUCGGGGACAUGAACAGAUUUUUAUUCAGACUUCAGAUGGGCUUAUCAUGUCUCACCCAGAUACUGCUGUUCUGUCUCAGGCAGAAGACGUUGUUAUUGUAACUGAUUCCAAUGGUAUUACAAUGCACAUCCCCACGCCUGAGGGGAUGCCUUUGGAAACUGUGGAAACCCUAUUGGAAAUGGAAGCAGAUGACCGAAGUGAAGAUGAUGCAUCUUUUAUCACUUCUAAGCUUGGACCUUCCUAAGAACUCCACACUGCCUUGUAAUACUUAGUCAUAAUAAGAAGGAGAUGACAAUGGUCAGAGGACAUGAGCCUAUCCUUAAUCUGUGUCCAACAGCAGUCAAUGAGCAAAGGACUCUGUGAACGAGAAGAUGACUUCAUGAAGAGAGAACAACACAAUUCCUACCUGUGCAGAAAAUGAAAAUCUGCUUCAAUUCUGCCUUUCCUAUUGCUUUGCACAUGCUGAGAAAUACAAUACACCUACUCAUAUCUUAAAAGAAGAUUCCUCAAUUUAGCAUUGGGGUAAAACAUCAGACUGCCUAUGAACAAGCACGGCACAAACCCUAUUAAUACAUGCUUUCUUACUUUCCCAUGUCAAGAUGACUUAAAUUUGAUUUCA
Molecule: RNA transcript, 3818 nt
Organism: Neopsephotus bourkii (Bourke's parrot)
Lineage: Eukaryota; Metazoa; Chordata; Aves; Psittaciformes; Psittacidae
Gene: ZNF839
Gene name: zinc finger protein 839
Exons: 12
Source: RefSeq, a predicted model, not a curated record